GCCCGGCUAGCUCAGUCGGUAGAGCAUGAGACUCUUAAUCUCAGGUUCGGGGGUUCGAGCCCCACGUUGGGGGCCA
Molecule: non-coding RNA, 76 nt
Organism: Schistocerca gregaria
Lineage: Eukaryota; Metazoa; Arthropoda; Insecta; Orthoptera; Acrididae
Source: the annotation of a RefSeq genome assembly